Nyctereutes procyonoides (raccoon dog) is the source of this 2465-nucleotide long non-coding RNA. RefSeq lists it as uncharacterized. The transcript has 2 exons. Lineage: Eukaryota; Metazoa; Chordata; Mammalia; Carnivora; Canidae. The record is from RefSeq and is a predicted model, not a curated record.
UGUGCUGGGCGCAGGGAAGACACAGCGCCGCCGGCCGUGGGGGAUGGACGCACUGAUUUGCUCCCUUACCCUCAGCAACCCCCCGCACCCAGGACCAGGAGCCUGUCCCUCCCACACCCUCAUCUGGCUGAGCCGCAGUAGUUCUUCAGUGGCAAGCUUUAUGUCCUGACCCAGCUAAAGCUGCCAGUUGAAGAACUGUUGCCCUCUGCCCCUGGCUUCAAGGAGGAGGAGGAAGAGAAGAAGAGGCUGCUUUCCCCUUCAUCUGGAAGGUGACAGAACUGGGGCUGGGAAGGUCUGAACAGCGGGAGUAAUAAUGCCAUUUGGAAAGGGGAACCUUGUUCAGAGCCUUCAGCCAGACUGACCCAGCAAGAGAGAACAAUUUUAGAUUAAGACUCUGGUUGGAUGGGGGAAUAGAUGACUGUGAUCACUCAAGGUUAGUUGGUCUACAUUGAUGUGACAUGGCGAAGAUAAGAGGAGCAAAGAAAACUGUCUACCCCUUUACCCAGAUGUCUUUCUUGGUCCUCCUCCUUUGUGUCCUUUUCUUCCCUACUGCCUUUCCAGGGAGGUCCUAAGUAAAUUUAUUCUUCAGGGAAAAGAUCAUACUGAAACUCCCAUCUGAGUAGUCAUCUCCAUGCUCUUACUUUUCCCUUUAUUUUCUUAUACUGGCUUAGACUCUGGAUUCAGGGAUAAUCACCUAUAUGUUGGACUCUUAGACCUCUUGUCUCAGCUUCUCCACCUGUGAGAUGGGAAAUCACAUACGUAUGCAGAAGGGAAUCAGAAGCCUACUUCUGCAGACUACUCAGAGCCUGGGCUCUCCUCUCCCUGUGGGUAGGAACAAAACUUAAGCUGUUGCUCCUCCCCCCAUCCCUGAACACUCUAACCCAAGGAGGGUAGUGGGGGAGAGUUAGAGGGAGAGGCUCAGUCCCUACAGUGAUGUCCCAUCAUGCAAAGGUGGCCCCUGGCUUCCUCUACCACCCAAAACAGGACUGCAGCCACUGAUGGGGUUCCAACUAUUGUUCCUCCGUUUCUUCCCUCACUUUACUUUCUAGGAUAGUUUGUGCAGGCAGGAAAUUAUCUCCAGCAACCAGGAGAGGUGGGUUGUGGGGUGACCCCCUUUGUUGCAUCAAGCAGUGUAAACCUACCACCCCCAGCUCCUGAUGCAGUCUAACUCUUGUGGCUCAGGCUCUGGUGUAGUUCAACCAUGGCGCAGUCUCCCUGCCUGAAGGUGGCCAAAUUCAGAAGCUGCAGGAAGCUAUCCUGUAGUGGGACAAGAGGCGUUGAGGUAGCUGGGUUUUAUUCUCUAUCUAUGAGAAACAGAUUUAGGAGAGUAGAUCAUUGAACCCACCCUUCUGCAGCCUGAGCUGGAUGUGUGUGGGACUGUGGUGGAGGGGGUGGGUAGACUGAGUCUACUCAUAGUCUGCAACAAAGAUUGCUCUGUCCCUGGACAUUGCUUCCAUCCUUUUUUCCCCUCCCCGCUUCACUGGCCACAGUGUCUCCCUCCAGCUCUGGGUAUGUGGCUCUGCCAUCCUCACCCAUCAUGAAGCAAAGAUGAGGAAGAGCAGCCUGGGAACGCAGGCAGGCAGAAGACCAGUGAAGGACCAGGCCUGGAGAACACAGGGCCCUGUCUGGGCACCCCACAGAGGGGACCCAUAAAGGCCAGGAGCACUCCAGGAGGGAGGACAGCCAGCCUCCAUCAAGGACAAGCUCCCAGCCUUCUGCUUCAUUCACUAUUUCUCUCCAGUGUUACUUACUGCCUCCCUCAGAGAUAUGAGACUGUAUUAAAGUGUCCUGUGGCUUCAUCCACCUACUACUACCUUCCUACCCUGUAGUUUUUGUUUUGGUUUUGGUUUGUUUUUUUACCCUGUAGUUUUUAUAUAAAGCAGCCUCAAGGAGCAAGAACCAGCUGUGAAAGGACAUACACAGGAAAUGCAUAGAAGAAAUUCAAAUGGAUAAAACCAUGAAAAACAAUGUAUUUCAUUAGGUAAUUAAAGAAAAAUAUAGCUGAAAGCAUUUUUUCCUUAGCAAAUUAUAUUUUUUUAAAAAGAAAAUCCCAGUAUUGGCAAAGAAGUACUAAAAUAAGACUCCUAUACAUUGCAUAUCGGCAUGCAAAUUGUUAUGGCCUUCCUGGAUGUCAGUUUGGUAAUAUGUCUCAAACACUCUAAAAGUUUCCAUCGCCUUUGACUUAGUAAUUCUACUUUUGAGGACUUAUCCUAAGAAAAUAAUUAACAAUUUAGUUACAAGAUGGUCAUCCCAGUAUUGCAAUAGAGAAAAUGAGAAGCAACUGUCUGAUUGAGAAUUCAUUUCUUUUCUGCUGUAAUGAAAAUUUGCAAUGGGGGAUUGCUUAAGUAAAUCAUUGUAUAUCCAUCCAGAUGGUGGAGUACUGCAUAGCCAUUAAAAGUCAUGCAGAAAAACAUUUGACUGGAAAGAAAAAUGCUCUUUGAAUAUUAAAAAGUUUAUUAAAAUAG